GACGAACGCUGGCGGCGUGCUUAACACAUGCAAGUCGAACGGAAAGGCCCUGCUUUUGUGGGGUGCUCGAGUGGCGAACGGGUGAGUAACACGUGAGUAACCUGCCCUUGACUUUGGGAUAACUUCAGGAAACUGGGGCUAAUACCGGAUAGGAGCUCCUGCUGCAUGGUGGGGGUUGGAAAGUUUCGGCGGUUGGGGAUGGACUCGCGGCUUAUCAGCUUGUUGGUGGGGUAGUGGCUUACCAAGGCUUUGACGGGUAGCCGGCCUGAGAGGGUGACCGGGCACACGGGAACGGAGGCGGGGGCCGGGCUCCUAAGGGAGGCAGCGGGAGGGAAGCGUCGGCGAUGGGCGGAAGCUUGGCGGAGCGACGCCGCGGGAGGGAUGGAGGUCUUCGGAGCGGAAAACUCUGUGAGUAGGGAUGAACAAGUGUGUAAGGAACGAGGCACGGCUGGACGGUACCUAAUCAGAAAACCACGGCUAACUACGGG
RNAcentral lists this ribosomal RNA (488 nucleotides) under uncultured bacterium. RNAcentral describes it as "partial 16S ribosomal RNA". It matches the Rfam family "Bacterial small subunit ribosomal RNA", at positions 28 to 507 of the family's 1533-position model. The record is from RNAcentral.